RNAcentral lists this signal recognition particle RNA (258 nucleotides) under Microcaldota archaeon. RNAcentral's name for it is "signal recognition particle sRNA large type". It matches the Rfam family "Bacterial large signal recognition particle RNA". Rfam says of the family: The signal recognition particle (SRP) is a universally conserved ribonucleoprotein involved in the co-translational targeting of proteins to membranes. The record is from RNAcentral. Lineage: Archaea; Nanobdellati; Microcaldota.
GGCAGCAAGGCUGGGAGCCAGGGGUUCCCAAUCCGCAAAUCCCCUUUAGGCGGGCCGCAUGCUUGUCGAGUGUUACAGAGUAGUGCAAGGCCUAGGCCGAAGCGUUGAGGUUUCGCCUCUAGUGGUAGUUGCAUAUUCGAACCGGGCCAGGCCGGAAGGAGCAACCCUAAGUCUAUGUUUACUAUGCUCUAGAGAUACGGGGCUGAGUGUAGGCCUAGAUAACCUUGCAGUGCGCUGCAAUGCAAGGCGGCUGCUGCC